This 229-nucleotide ribosomal RNA is filed under the name uncultured bacterium. RNAcentral's name for it is "partial 16S ribosomal RNA". It matches the Rfam family "Bacterial small subunit ribosomal RNA", at positions 105 to 339 of the family's 1533-position model. The record is from RNAcentral.
GCUGAGUAACGCGUAGGUAACGUACCUUUUACUGGGGGAUAACACCGGGAAACCGGUGCUAAUACCGCAUAAGUCACUGGUUGUAAUACUUGUGAUUAAAGAAUUUCGGUAAGAGAUCGGCCUGCGUCUGAUUAGCUUGUUGGUGGGGUAAAGGCCUACCAAGGCGAUGAUCAGUAGUUGGUCUGAGAGGAUGACCAGCCAGAGUGGGACUGAGAACGGCCCACACUUC